Molecule: ribosomal RNA, 401 nt
Filed under: Megoura viciae (vetch aphid)
Lineage: Eukaryota; Metazoa; Arthropoda; Insecta; Hemiptera; Aphididae
Description: partial 12S small subunit ribosomal RNA
Source: RNAcentral
UAUGUUCUUUAAAUUUAAAAAAUUUGGCGGUAUUUUAAUCUUAUUAGAGGAACCUGUUUAUUAAUUGAUAAUCCACGAUUAAUUUUACUUAUGUUAUUAAUUCAUAUAUCGCUGUGACGAGUAUAUUAAAAAAAUUAUUUUCUUUAUUUAUAUUUAUAAUUUAUGUGAAGUCAAGAUGGGGGUUAUAAAAAAGUAUAUAAUGGGGUACAUUUAAUUAUAUUUUUGGAUUUUAAAUGAAAAUUAAAAUGAAAUUGGAUUUAAAAGUAAAUUUAUUUAUUUAAUUAAAAUGAAAAAAGAUCUAAAAAAUGUACAUAUUGCCCGUCAUUCUUAUUAAAAAUAAAACAAGGCCUAACAAAAUAAAUGUCCUGGAAAGUGUAUUUAGAAAGAUUUAAUUAUAUAAA